This is a long non-coding RNA of Chiroxiphia lanceolata (lance-tailed manakin), 430 nucleotides long. RefSeq lists it as uncharacterized. NCBI's taxonomy places the organism in Eukaryota, Metazoa, Chordata, Aves, Passeriformes, Pipridae. The transcript is spliced from 3 exons. The record is from RefSeq and is a predicted model, not a curated record.
AAUGACCAUCAAAUAACAGACAAGGCUCCAUUCUAUCAGCAUUUUUACCUAACUACAGGACGGCACAACCUUAAAGAAAUUCAGGAUCUUUUAGAUUCUCAUCAUGGCCCAGUUCCACCUCAAAACCAGGCAACCAUUUUGAAUUUAUGAGCCGGGAUAAUUCCUGGAGUGUUUCAGUCUCAAAUUCAGUGUUAUAUUUGUUUCAAACUGACAAGAUCUAGAAUAUACGAAACAAAAUACAAACACUUACUGAAGAAAGGUAAUACCCGUCACUUAUAGAAAAUGGUACAUCUUCAGGUCAAAGUAAGAAUUCACUGCAGUAACAAUUAUUUUAUGCGUUGCCAUGCAUAAUUACCCCUUUCCUCUCUGUGUUAUUAAGAAAUACAAAUUAUUUACUAGUUAUAUAUACUUCAAAUAGAUCCUACUAAAU